Molecule: long non-coding RNA, 3443 nt
Organism: Passer domesticus (house sparrow)
Lineage: Eukaryota; Metazoa; Chordata; Aves; Passeriformes; Passeridae
Exons: 3
Source: RefSeq, a predicted model, not a curated record
GUUGUUUUGGUGGUUUUUUGGUUUGUUUUUUUUUUUUUUUAACUAAUUCUGAAGGUUGUGAGAAUGAUUCUAGCUUAUUCUACACUAAAGGUGUACUGAUGUUACAUCACUGACUCUUGUUUCGUUAAGGCUCACCUUCACUUGGUCAAAUGGAAUGCAUGACUUUGCCUCAUGGCUAUUGAAACAAUCAAACCUGGUUGAGGCAGCAGGAGUGUUUCCAUGAGAGAUGGAAGAUGAGCCACGAGUGGGGUGAAUGGCAAGUCACAAAGCUGGAGCUGGGGCAAAGCUGGAGGCAGGUCAGUCUCCCUAGACCAGCACAUGGAUCCAGGGUGGAAAAGCUCAUCCCUGCUCAUUUGACACAACCACCUUUGCUUAUACAUCUACUAGCUGCCUUCAUGUGGAAUAGCCCCCAUGCUGCCUUGCAUAUAUAAGAUGAUCUGGGACAAAAUGCCACCUUGCCACCUCCCUCCUGGCUGCCCAUCCUUUCUUUAAAUGCCUUGCCUGGUUGCAAAGCUGGUGUCAGCUGUCAGCAUUGUACUGUGACUAAUGUUCAUUUUUUUGCACAAUAGAAUGUUCGACUUCUUAUUACCUAACUUUGGCCUUUUUGCCAUCUUCUAAUUUUCCUAUUUAUUUCAUACAUCCAUUGCAAGUGAUUAGCUCUUAGAAGUAGGAAUUGCUAGUCUGGUUUCCUCAGGAAAUAGGGUGAUCAUGUUCUGCACAUCCUCAGAUAAAUGUUGAACACACCAGUUGAUUUAAUUUGGCUGCUGGAGAGUGGGCUUAAAGCUAAUUGAAUUCCUGUAAGUUUUGUAUGAGCAGGCAGCCAGCUGGAGCAGAGAGGAACCCUAGAGUCACAUGCCAGAAAGAAAAGUAGCAGAUACAUUCUAUCUUAGAAGAUACCAAAAAAUUCAUAACGGAGAUACAGUAGUUAGGCACCAAAAAAAGUGCCUCUGUUUGUACCUCUAAAUAAUCAUGAGAAACAAACCCAUAAGAAACCUGGACUCUUCUAGCAUUUAUUAAGUUAAUUUUAGGUUGUUUGGACUGUGAUUGGGACAAUAGUUUUAGAUUCCUGAAAGGGAUUUUUAAUGUGUUGCUAUAGACCAUGAAAAAACUAACUGUAAUAAUACUGAUAAAGGCCGACAAAGGAAAUCUAAUCACCAAAAGUUCAUCUGGCAACUGGAGGGCACAAAAUCUCACCCCACAAUUUUGGGGUGCUUUUGCUGGCAGCAGAUUCUCAGCCCUCACCCACUCCAUUCCCCUUCCACAGACAACUUAAAAUUAGUCAGAUGAUGUGUAAUCCCACAAGAAAUGAGCUGGCUUGGAAAUGGCAAAUGCUGCAUGGAAGCCUGGCUCCAGGUUUCCAGCUCCUGACUGCUUACACAGCAAAGGUGAUAAGGACAGUUCUGAAAUCAGUGGGAUGUUUUGCAUGGCAACAAAUGCCUGCCCAGAACGGGACAAAAGGGAGGAUUUAACCACAGAUUGUCUCUUUUAUUCUGUAAAUAGGCAUUUUUCCAUGGUUAGGCAAUUCCAUAAAAAAUAAAAGUUAAUAAAAAUGAAAAGGCUUGUGCAGCAGUUGGCUGACAGGUUUCAUGCAGUAGUGCCGUGUUACAGAGAUAAACAUCAGUGCUUAGCUUACAGAUUGUCUCAACACCUGGAAGGCUGUUAUAGAGACAGGUUUAAUAAUUAAUUGCUAUUUCUCUGAGACAAUGUACCCUGGAUCUCUUAAGGUGCAUAUUGCACACCAGGUAACAGGAGGAGUAGGCAAAAGAGACAAAAGCAUUAGAAAAGAUAAAAAGACUGAGAUCAAAUGACAUUAUUCUUCAUGUCAUGGUGGAAAUGAGUCUAUACUCAGCUGAUCCUGCAUGGAGGUUGCCUGGAGGUGUUUUGAUAUACUUGAGGUCAAAAUACUUGUGUUCCAAAGUUGCUUUUAAGUAAAUGAUUCUCAUACAGCUGGUGGCAGGAAAGAAGAUGGAAACAGAUAAAUUCCUUCAUAUGACUGUGUUAGGUUUGUGUCAUGUCACCGUGCACGGCUGAAGAUAGUGAGGUGUUGUUUUAUAACCAGAAAAAUAUGAUAUCUGGAAAUGAUGUUGGUAGGUCCCUACAGGAUAUGUUUUCUGUAUGUAAUAUAUAUUUUUCUCAUCUAUGUUUAGCAGUACAUUUUUUUUGUGCAAGAUAUAAACCUAGCAAAAUUGAAUGCUAUAGUGAAGGGGGAAAUAAGAAAAAAUAUUAAUCUGCUGGGCUCCUUAAUGACCACAACCCAAACCACAAACCUGGACUGUAUCCUAGCAGCAGAGAAGCACUAACAUCAAUUUCUUUCUGUGCCCCAGGCACCUCCCAUGUCAGUUGCCAUCACUUACUAUGACUGGGGGCCUGUUUGCUAACAUAGGGGUACUGAGAACAAAGGUAGUGGCAGCUGAUGGCACAGAGCUGCACGUUCUGGUAGCAGUGAAACUCCAGCACUGAGUGUAAUCUUAUCACGCAAGCUUGUUUCACCAAAUGUAUAUGUUUACUGAUGUGAGCUUUCUCAUCUAAAUGAAAUUGAUUAAAUGAGGGGAAUUAUGAACACAUCUACAAGGACAGGACUAACUGCUGAUGCCUGCUGUGCUGGGUUUAGGCUGCUGGUGAUCAGUGUGUCUCUUGUCAUUGAGCAAAUCCUGUUGACAUCCUGGGCAAGAUGCAAAUCCUCUCUUUCCCCAGGUUUUUAUUGCUGAGGAGGAUCUUGAUUUCAGUGAGUCAGAUAGUGUUCUUUUGUGAACAUGUCGGCUCAGAUGGCUUUGAAAAAUAUGUUUCCUUAUGAAUUGAAGCUGGCUCUCAAGCUUCUUUGGUAAGCACAGUGCACAAAUUAAAAUACUAAUCAUGGAUCUGUGUAGUUAAACUACUUGUACAGAUGGAUCUGAUGCUGUUGGUUGCAUUUUCCUAUUGCUACAGCAAAAGGAAGGAACUCCUGAGCUGGAACAGGGGUUUAAUAGAGGAAAUUAUUUGGGAUUGCAACGGCCUCUCUAAGAGACAGUUGCCGAGGAAAAGCUCUGUUGGCAAGCUUCCUCUUGGUUCUUGUCCAGAUCCUCAAGGUAUAAGUCAUCCUAAGCCAACUGAAGAGUACUUUUAUAUUACCUGAGUUUCUUACCCUGUGCUUUAUCAUCAUUUCUGGUAGCUUUCAUCUGUUAAUGUGCAAAGAAAAACCAUCCUAGGCUGAAACACAGCAUUUAUCAAACAAGUCUAUAAACCUGUUUUCCAUAAGACUUUUGAACUAAUUAAUUUUGCCUGCCAUGGAGAUUUUAAAAUAUAUAAUGGAAAGUUGUAUGUGAAGAAGCAGUAGAAGCAAGACUGAAAUGGGUUUGUGGAGAUGAGGGAGUCACUCUCCUGGUUUUGAAAAGCAGCAAAUAGGUUGUGUGGUUUCAUAAUGUCUGGGGUUUUAAGCAAGCUCUGGAAUGUGAAAUUGUGAAAAU